AAUAUGGUAAAACCGGAACCGAACCGAAAUAGACAAUAUGGUUUGGUUUUGGUAUAUACCAUACAAAUCGAAUGGAUAUAAUUUUAUAAAAACCGUAGGAUUUGGAUAUGGUUUGGUUUAUAACCGAUUAAAUCGAGCAAAAACGAUCAAAAGUAGAAACAUAUAAAUAUGUAUAUAUUUUAUAACGACGCAUGAAAAUCUAUUUGUUAUAUAAAUUGUUUUUUUUUCUAAUAACUAUUACCAUACUUUUUACUGUAAUAAAGAAACCCUAAUUUGUAAAACUCUUGAACUAUAAUUAAGUAAAAAUUCAUCGCAACUGACGCUUCUUAUUUUCUUAGUCUUUUUUUUUAUCUUUUUGUAAAUUGAUGGACAACAAUUAGUAGAAAUUCUUCAUAAUUUUUUUUUCUUGUCUAUAAAUGAACAGACUUUCGUGUUCAAUCAAAGAAGCAUGACUUUGAUGAACACUAAAUAUGAAAGAGUAGAAAACUUUUUUUUCAUGCUUCUGUUUUGUUUUUUAUUUAUAUUUUCAAAAUUUCAAGCUUUGAUUUUAAUUUUAGUUUUGAUUAUAAUAUUAGACGAUAGAAGCGUUUUUAUUUUUGUUUUUU
This 605-nucleotide long non-coding RNA is filed under the name Brassica rapa (field mustard). RNAcentral describes it as "long non-coding RNA (BRAP_LNC007780)". Lineage: Eukaryota; Viridiplantae; Streptophyta; Magnoliopsida; Brassicales; Brassicaceae. The record is from RNAcentral.